AUUUUUUUAGCUUAACUUCUUUUAAAGCAUUAUAUUGAAGAUAUAAACAUAAUUAAUUUUUUAAUUAAAAAAUA
Molecule: transfer RNA, 74 nt
Filed under: Elaphrothrips spiniceps
Lineage: Eukaryota; Metazoa; Arthropoda; Insecta; Thysanoptera; Phlaeothripidae
Description: tRNA-Phe
Source: RNAcentral